Molecule: long non-coding RNA, 2126 nt
Organism: Esox lucius (northern pike)
Lineage: Eukaryota; Metazoa; Chordata; Actinopteri; Esociformes; Esocidae
Source: Ensembl
CUCAUUGCACUGACCAUGGGAACAAUAGUUGAGCCAGAGCACAGUUCACCACUCUCUCUUAACAAUUAAAUUGUUUGGGGAAAAAAUAUGAGCCCUGGUUAAAUGUUUUAUCAAUUAACAAUUAAUAUACAAGUGAUCACAUGAGACGUUUUGUCUAUUCUUCAUCAGGUUCAUGUGAAAUAACAACAUUUAAUGAAAAUACCACUACACCAGCUGCCUACACCAGAACUGCCGUGCCACCUUUCUCUUCAAGAGAGCCUUAAGCCUUGCCGACCAGAAGGCCCUGCAAAGGGUGAUGAAAAAUGCCCAGCACAUCACGGGUACCCAUCUCCCAGCCAUCGUAGACCCCCAGCACAUCAUGGGUACCCAUCUCCCAGCCAUCAUAGACCUCCAGCACAUCACGGGUACCCAGCUCCCAGCCAUCGUAGACCUCCAGCACAUCACGGGUACCCAGCUCCCGGCCAUCGUAGACCUCCAGCACAUCACGGGUACCCAGCUCCCAGCCAUCGUAGACCUCCAGCACAAGUAGUGCACAGGGCGUUUGGCAACACCAGGGACCCUUCACACCCAUGCCAGAAUCUGUUUGCCCCCCUCCCAUCAGGCAGGCUGUACAGGUCUCUCUUUACUUGCAUUUUCAAUUACAUACACACAUCUACCUCGGGAACCUCCUUGCUGCGAUCCCUGCAUUUCAGUUGCACAUGCUACCCUACUCCUUCAAUUUGCCUCAACUGCACAUUUAGAAUGCCAUCGAGAACUGCCACAUCUAUUAAUCUCACUUGUACAUACAUUAUACUUAAUACCUGUAAAUUGCCUGUAAAUCGUCCACAGCACAUUUAGAAUUGCCAUAUGUAAUGCAUUUGCAUUAAUUGUACAUCCUUACAUUCCACUUGUAAUAUACAUAUACUUAAUACAUUUUUCUGCUCUCCUCUAUUUGCACUUCUGGUUAGAGGCAAACUGCAUUUUGAUAAACUCUUCUUGCACUGUUCAAUGACAAUAAAGUUGAAUCUAAUCACUUCUUCUAUUAACAAUACACUUUAAGCAUUUGAGAACGGAGGAGACCAAUUGCUGUAGUUUUGAAAGUUAGAAUGUGGUUUGGCAUUGUCUUGUUAUUCUUAAAUUGUUGCCCUAUUUGCCUGCACAGUCUUUCAUAGAGUGGUGAACCCCUCCCCUUUCUCACUUAAGACAGGCCCAUCCUCUCUGGAUUGAUCUUUUAAUACCCAAUCAUGUUACUGACCUGUUGCCAAUUGACCUAAUUAGUUGUGUGAUAUUCUACCAGGUUUAGUUUUUUUAGCAAUACACAACUUUUCCAGUCUUUUGUUGCCUCUGUCCCAUCUUUUUUGAAACUCGGCAUCAAAUUCAAAGUGGGCAUAUACUCUAUAUAGACAGUUGAGGGGUUUAAAAAUGCCAUGAAGGCAGACAAGUCAACAUUGUAAACUUUUUAUUGGGUUACAUUUAUUGGGUCAACUAUAUAAAUGUUAUGUCCCUGAAACUAUAAUUAUUCCAUACAUAUUGAAUAUAAUGAUUCAAAUACAAAAAUAUCUCGGACAGUGUUUGUCUCAUUUUAAGAUUUAUUUUGGUUGUUUUUUCUUUUGAUUCUUAUUUUUAAGUGAAAGUCACUCUGGUUAGAGGGCAUGACAGGGUUUCAUGCUGGUGUCAAGUGAGUUUCAGACAGGGAGUUUGUCCCGUGCGGCACCAUAUUCCCUGGGAAUACGCUUCUUUUACUCUCAGUGCACCGCUUUGGGAAUAGGGCGCCAUUUUGGAUGCACCUUCUGACACACAGAGACGUGUGACAGUGUUACUGGAAGCUAUUCUGCUCACAGAAGGAGGACACAAUCUCAGGAUGUCAAACGAUGAGAACACAAAGAGAAGGAGGACACAAGGAAAUACACAUAGGGCGUAAACAUGGUGAAUGGUGAACUAGUGAAAGUUAUUUUAUUCGAUUGUGUAGACCUAGCUAAUUAGAGGAAGCUGAAAGGUCCUUUAGAAUAGAUGUUGGUAACACGUCCAAUGAAGUAUAUGGUUUAAAACUAAGUAUGUGCUUCAACUGCUUGUUUUAAUGAAUCACUUGCAACAUUGCCAUCUUCACUCAUUAAAAUGCAAAUCCAUUUAUAACAUUUUUGACAUGC